RNAcentral lists this ribosomal RNA (460 nucleotides) under uncultured bacterium. RNAcentral describes it as "partial 16S ribosomal RNA". It matches the Rfam family "Bacterial small subunit ribosomal RNA", at positions 338 to 795 of the family's 1533-position model. The record is from RNAcentral.
CCUACGGGCUGCAGCAGUGAGGAAUAUUGGUCAAUGGCCGUAAGGCUGAACCAGCCAAGUCGCGUGAAGGAAGAAGGAUCUAUGGUUUGUAAACUUCUUUUAUAGGGGAAUAAAGGUAUCCACGUGUGGAUAUUUGCAUGUACCCUAUGAAUAAGCAUCGGCUAACUCCGUGCCAGCAGCCGCGGUAAUACGGAGGAUGCGAGCGUUAUCCGGAUUUAUUGGGUUUAAAGGGUGCGGAGGUUGUUUUUUAAGUCAGCGGUGAAAGUUUGUGGCUCAACCAUAAAAUUGCCGUUGAAACUGGCAGACUUGAGUGUGUUUGAGGUAGGCGGAAUGCGUGGUGUAGCGGUGAAAUGCAUAGAUAUCACGCAGAACUCCGAUUGCGAAGGCAGCUUACUAAGCCAUAACUGACACUGAAGCACGAAAGCGUGGGGAUCAAACAGGAUUAGAUACCCGUGUAGUC